RNAcentral lists this unclassified non-coding RNA (381 nucleotides) under uncultured bacterium. RNAcentral describes it as "contains 16S-23S intergenic spacer region". The record is from RNAcentral.
UCGCGGCUUAUCACCGGCAGUCCCCUUAGAGUGCCCAACUGAAUGAUGGCAACUAAGGGCGAGGGUUGCGCUCGUUGCGGGACUUAACCCAACAUCUCACGACACGAGCUGACGACAGCCACGCAGCACCUCGGCUGGCUCCCUUGCGGGUCGCCCAAUCUUUCAAUCGGACUACUACCAGUCGUUCGAGCCCAGGUAAGGUUCUUCGCGUAGCGUCGAAUUAAACCACAUGCUCCACCGCUUGUGCGGGCCCCCGUCAAUUCCUUUGAGUUUUAACCUUGCGGCCGUACUCCCCAGGCGGGUCACUUAAAGCGUUAGCGACGACACGGAAGGGGUCGAUACCUCCGGCACCUAGUGCCCAUCGUUUACGGCGUGGACUAC